GUCACUUUGCCGGAGUGGUUAACGGGAUCGCCUGCUACCAGCUGUUCAUUCAGCUCAGUCAAGCGGUUGGUCUUUGACCGCGAGUGUUCGAAUCGCUCAGGUGACG
Collybia nuda is the source of this 106-nucleotide non-coding RNA. The record is from the annotation of a GenBank genome assembly. NCBI's taxonomy places the organism in Eukaryota, Fungi, Basidiomycota, Agaricomycetes, Agaricales, Clitocybaceae.